Non-coding RNA from Acanthosepion pharaonis, 113 nucleotides. The record is from the annotation of a GenBank genome assembly. NCBI's taxonomy places the organism in Eukaryota, Metazoa, Mollusca, Cephalopoda, Sepiida, Sepiidae.
GGAGGCCAUGGCAUGUUGUAACAUCGGUUCUCAUCCGAUCACCAAAGUUAAGCAAAGUGAAUCCUGGUCAGUACUUAGGUAUGUGAUAGCUUGGGAAUACCAGGGACUGUAUG